This 254-nucleotide ribosomal RNA is filed under the name uncultured bacterium. RNAcentral describes it as "partial 16S ribosomal RNA". It matches the Rfam family "Bacterial small subunit ribosomal RNA", at positions 524 to 776 of the family's 1533-position model. The record is from RNAcentral.
UACGUAGGGCGCAAGCGUUUAUCCGGAAUUAUUGGGCGUAAAGAGCUCGUAGGCGGUUUGUCGCGUCUGCCGUGAAAGUCCGGGGCUCAACUCCGGAUCUGCGGUGGGUACGGGCAGACUAGAGUGAUGUAGGGGAGACUGGAAUUCCUGGUGUAGCGGUGAAAUGCGCAGAUAUCAGGAGGAACACCGAUGGCGAAGGCAGGUCUCUGGGCCGAUACUGACGCUGAGGAGCGAAAGCGUGGGGAGCGAACAGG